This 761-nucleotide long non-coding RNA is filed under the name Mytilus galloprovincialis (Mediterranean mussel). Lineage: Eukaryota; Metazoa; Mollusca; Bivalvia; Mytilida; Mytilidae. The record is from RNAcentral.
CCCCAUUUUCAAGCAUUUUGACUUUCGUAACUCGAAAUAAAGAUUUUUAAUAAAUAUAAAAAUAAUAGUGCUGGAUGGGGGAUUUGUGUGAGUUGACUUGCAGUUCUAGUUUAUUCAGGUUACACACGUUUCUUAUUUGUAAAUGCAGUUUUUAUGUGAAGUGUAGAUAUCACAUGAAUGAAUACUAAUAUCGUAAUAUAUAUCAUAUUUUUGUUAUUGGUUAAUAAAGUUCAUUUUAUUGGAAUUUUGUUUCCAGUGUAUAGAAAUGAAGAAACCAAUGGGAGCCCCUGCCAAAAAGAGGAGUGUGUCUUCAGUUGAGAUUGGUAGAAAAAAAAAAAAAAAAAACAGUUUACCUACAUAAUUUUGCCAUUAAACCUUAAAAUGUGUAUUUCUGAACCCCUUUAUACUUUUUACUGGAAAAUCCCUUACAACAAUGCAUGCUGUUAUUGUUUUGUAAGUCUAGAAACAUGGCCCUAUUACAGAAGAUGCAUCUAUUUUUCAAGAGGAAUUAUAUGAUAUUGAAAUUAGACAGAUAUGCAAGUUACAUGUAAAAAGUAAAGUAACAAAAAUAUGGAACUCUGAGGAAAAUUAAAAAUGUAAUAGCGAAAUUAAAAGCUGAAAUACAUCAAGCAAAAAGAAAACAACUGUCAUAUUCCUGACUAAGUGCAGUCAUUUCUUAGAUUUAAUCUGGUUUUAUAGCUCGUUUUAGUAAACCAGUAUUUAAAAAUGAUAAGAUUGUAAGAAACAAAGCAAUUGACCCA